RNAcentral lists this transfer RNA (77 nucleotides) under Balneola sp. EhC07. Its description in RNAcentral is "tRNA-Asp". It matches the Rfam family "tRNA". From Rfam's summary of the family: Transfer RNA (tRNA) molecules are approximately 80 nucleotides in length. The record is from RNAcentral. Lineage: Bacteria; Pseudomonadati; Balneolota; Balneolia; Balneolales; Balneolaceae. RNAcentral also lists the same sequence under 6 other names.
GGUCCGGUAGUUCAGUUGGUUAGAACGCCUGCCUGUCACGCAGGAGGUCGAGGGUUCGAGUCCCUUCCGGAUCGCAA